This 496-nucleotide ribosomal RNA is filed under the name uncultured Glomeromycotina. RNAcentral's name for it is "partial small subunit ribosomal RNA". It matches the Rfam family "Eukaryotic small subunit ribosomal RNA", at positions 591 to 1092 of the family's 1831-position model. Lineage: Eukaryota; Fungi; Glomeromycota. The record is from RNAcentral.
CCAAUAGCGUAUAUUAAAGUUGUUGCAGUUAAAAAGCUCGUAGUUGAAUUUUGGGUUUGGCCGAUUGGUCCGUUCUUGUAACGAGUACUGGUCGGUUGGGCCUCACCGCUUGGUGAUGCGUAAUGUCCUUUAUUGGGGGUUGCGAGUAGCCAAGACCUUUACCUUGAAAAAAUUAGAGUGUUUAAAGCAGGCUUAUGCCGGAAUACAUUAGCAUGGAAUAAUAGAAUAGGACAACGAUUCUAUUUUGUUGGUUUCUAGGACCGUUGUAAUGAUUAAUAGGGAUAGUUGGGGGCAUUAGUAUUCAAUUGUCAGAGGUGAAAUUCUUGGAUUUAUUGAAGACUAACUACUGCGAAAGCAUUUGCCAAGGAUGUUUUCAUUAAUCAAGAACGAAAGUUAGGGGAUCGAAGACGAUCAGAUACCGUCGUAGUCUUAACCAUAAACUAUGCCGACUAGGGAUCGGGCGAUGUUGUUUCAAUGACUCGCUCGGCACCUUAUG